AGCGCGGGUGCGAGUCGGAGGGUGCAAGCCCGUGGGCGAAGUGAAAGCGAGUUUAAAAACGAGCAGUUUGGGGCGGCAUAAGAUCGUUGAUCUUAAGACCGACCCGGAGCAGUUGCGCUGGGACCCGAAAGAUGGUGAACUAUGCCGGAGUAGGGCAAAGCCAGAGGAAACUCUGGUGGAGGCUCGUAGCGGUGCUGACGUGCAAAUCGCUCGUCGAACUUGGGUAUAGGGGCGAAAGACUAAUCGAACCAUCUAGUAGCUGGUUCCCUCCGAAGUUUCUCUCAGGAUAGCGGGCCGACAAGUUGUUUUGUGCGGUAAAGCGAAUGAUUAGCGCAUUCGGGGGCGUUUAGCCUUUGGGCGAUUCUCAAACUUUCAAUGCGCAAGGGUGCCGCUGCUUAAUUGAGCGGUACCGGUAAAAACGUCGGCCCUGUGGGCCACUUUUGGUAAGCAGAACUGGCGAUACGGGAUGAACCGUAAGCAAGGUUAAGGCGCCAAACUGCCCGCUUAUAGACCCCACAAAAGGUGUUGAUUCAUCGAGACAGCAGGACGGUGGCCAUGGAAGUCGGAAUCCGCCAAGGAGUGUGUAACAACUCACCUGCCGAAUGAAUUAGCCCUGAAAAUGGAUGGCGCUGAAGCGGGCGGCCGACACCUUGCCGUCUGAACAAGAAUUUCAGAUGAGUAGGAGGGCGUGGCGGCCGUGUCGAAGCGCGCGUGCAGACGCGUGUGGAACGGCCGCUAGUGCAGAUCUUGGUGGUAGUAGCAAGUAUUCAAGCGAGAUCCUUGAAGGGCGAAGUGGGGAAGGGUUUCACGCGAACAUUGAUUGGGCGUGAGUGAGUCGUUCCUAAGCCGAGUGGCAAUUGCUAAUUAACGGCGAAAGGGAAGCGGGUUGACAUUCCCGCACACGGAUGUGGAGGCGGCGACGCAUUAUUGGGGCGAACACGCUGGCGGUGGCGCUGGGCAGAGUUGUCUUUUCUGUUUGACCGCUUGCGCACGCAGUGUGGAAUCCGCUUGUCGGGAGAAACACGCGUGUACGGGCAUAGCGCUGGGGCUUUUCCAGCGUCCAGCUCGCCACCGACGGCCCUUGAAACUUUGCCUGCUG
This 1099-nucleotide ribosomal RNA is filed under the name Chondracanthus intermedius. Its description in RNAcentral is "eukaryotic LSU rRNA". It matches the Rfam family "Eukaryotic large subunit ribosomal RNA", at positions 677 to 1828 of the family's 3401-position model. The record is from RNAcentral. Lineage: Eukaryota; Rhodophyta; Florideophyceae; Gigartinales; Gigartinaceae.